Molecule: ribosomal RNA, 253 nt
Filed under: uncultured bacterium
Lineage: Bacteria
Description: partial 16S ribosomal RNA
Rfam family: Bacterial small subunit ribosomal RNA
Source: RNAcentral
UACGUAGGGGGCUAGCGUUGUCCGGAUUUAUUGGGCGUAAAGAGCGUGUAGGCGGCCAGAUAGGUCUGCUGUGAAAACUCGAGGCUCAACCUCGAGAUGUCGGCGGAAACCAUUUGGCUAGAGUCCGGAAGAGGAAAGUGGAAUUCCUGGUGUAGCGGUGAAAUGCGCAGAUAUCAGGAGGAACACCGGUGGCGAAGGCGGUUCUCUGGGCAUGAUCUGACGCUGAGGAGCGAAAGUGUGGGGAGCGAACAGG